CCACAUCAGGUUGAAACACUGGUUCCCGUAUGAUCACCAUAGUUAAGCAACAUUGAGUAUGGUCAGUAUCUGGACAGGUGACUACUUGGGAAUACCAGGUGUUGUACG
This is a non-coding RNA of Acanthosepion pharaonis, 108 nucleotides long. The record is from the annotation of a GenBank genome assembly. Lineage: Eukaryota; Metazoa; Mollusca; Cephalopoda; Sepiida; Sepiidae.